Long non-coding RNA from Panicum virgatum (switchgrass), 921 nucleotides. RefSeq lists it as uncharacterized. Lineage: Eukaryota; Viridiplantae; Streptophyta; Magnoliopsida; Poales; Poaceae. The record is from RefSeq and is a predicted model, not a curated record. The transcript has 5 exons.
CGGCCCACUCGAGGCUAGGGGGCUGCUGCCUCAGAGAGACGAAAGGCUCCGGCUCCCCUCUCGUCGCCGGCCAUGUCGGCUGGUUGCCGUCGCCGCCCGCCCGGCCCCUUCUUCUCGGUUCCGCCUCUCCGCUUCUCAAUUUGAAAGCCCCAGCGCAAAUCGCCGCCGCCGACGCGGCGUUUGCGGCAGUGUUUCGUCGGACACCCGGUGAUCACGGAGAUUUGUGUUGUGCACAUUUGCUUCCAAUGGAAAGAUCGUGGAACUUCAACUACUCUCGUUUGUAGAGUUUCUUGUGUGGCGUAACAGAUGAUGGAGCUGAUAUAAUCAUCAAAUGAUUGCUUCCAGAGAGCAUCAAAGAUGUCUCAAAGAUAAAGGUUGUAGUUCUUCGUCAUCUCGAGGCAGAAGAGCACUCUGCCAUCCGACUCGAACUGGCUCCACACUGGAUCAUGUGGGUUAAACGAUGAUCUCCAGUUGUUCAGGAUGCCUGUCCUGUUGAUGAUUACGAAACCCUCUAUAUAAUCAAAGGUCCUUUCUGCCGAAAUAAGCAUCUCCUGGUCCUCUGUGAAGCUUGUGAAGUCUGAAUAGAGAACUCUAAUCCACCUCACCUAUUGCAUAUUCAAAUCAUUAACAAGUGGCUUUUUGCUAGCAUUAAGUUGAUAUAAAUUAAUUGUUUUGUUAUACCAUAUUUGGAGCUGGCUCGAGGGCAAUCCUGGCUCUAGUGAUGAUGCCGAACUGACCUAGUCCACCUAGAGCAGCAUGGAAGAGAUCAGAGUUCUGCUCAGCUCCAUGACAUUGCUGAUUUGUGGGCCAUGCUGGAACGUCUGCCCACUGACCCCUGCAUUCGACAGCGUGCCUCCAAUUGUGAGGUGGAGAUAAUCAGUCCAUGACUUUGGUGCCAGACCAUACUUAAAUGUCUCGUGC